ACGGGAGGCAGCAGUGGGGAAUAUUGGGCAAUGGGGGAAACUCUGACCCAGCAACGCCGCGUGAAGGAUGAAGGUCUUCGGAUUGUAAACUUCUUUUAUAGGGGACGAAGAAAGUGAUGGUACCCUAUGAAUAAGCUACGGCAAACUAUGUGCCAGCAGCCGCGGUAAUACAUAGGUAGCAAGCGUUAUCCGGAAUAACUGGGCGUAAAGGGAGCGUAGGUGGCGAGGUAAGUCUCAUGUGAAAUCCCUUGGCUUAACCAAGGAACUGCAUGAGAUACUGCUUUGCUAGAGUGCGAGAGAGGUAAGUGGAAUUCCUAGUGUAGCGGUAGAAUGCGUAGAGAUUAGGAGGAACACCAGUGGCGAAGGCGGCUUACUGGACGGUAACUGACGAUGAGGCGCGAAAGCGUGGGGAGCAAACAGGAUUAGAUACCCUGGUA
This 437-nucleotide ribosomal RNA is filed under the name uncultured Saccharofermentans sp. RNAcentral's name for it is "partial 16S ribosomal RNA". It matches the Rfam family "Bacterial small subunit ribosomal RNA", at positions 341 to 792 of the family's 1533-position model. Lineage: Bacteria; Bacillati; Bacillota; Clostridia; Eubacteriales; Oscillospiraceae. The record is from RNAcentral.